GAUGAAGAACGUAGCGAAAUGCGAUAAGUAAUGUGAAUUGCAGAAUUCAGUGAAUCAUCGAAUCUUUGAACGCACAUUGCGCCCGCCAGUAUUCUGGCGGGCAUGCCUGUUCGAGCGUCAUUUCAACCAUCAAGCCCCAGGCUUGUGUUGGGGACCUGCGGCUGCCGCAGGCCCUGAAAACCAGUGGCGGGCUCGCUGUCACACCGGGCGUAGUAGAUUUUAUCUCGCUCUGGGCGUGCUGCGGGUACCGGCCGUGAAACGACCACUCGAGAGAGAGGACACCCAAAGGUUGACCUCGGAUCAGGUAGGAAUACCCGCUGAACUUAAGCAUAUCAAUAAGCGGAGGA
RNAcentral lists this unclassified non-coding RNA (347 nucleotides) under soil metagenome. RNAcentral's name for it is "partial contains 5.8S ribosomal RNA, internal transcribed spacer 2, and large subunit ribosomal RNA". The stretch from base 1 to 120 matches the Rfam family "5.8S ribosomal RNA", at positions 35 to 154 of the family's 154-position model. The record is from RNAcentral.